UACGUAGGGUGCGAGCGUUGUCCGGAUUUACUGGGCGUAAAGAGCGUGUAGGCGGCCAAGCAGGUCCGUUGUGAAAACUGGAGGCUUAACCUCCAGACGUCGACGGAAACCGCGUGGCUAGAGUCCGGAAGAGGAGAGUGGAAUUCCUGGUGUAGCGGUGAAAUGCGCAGAUAUCAGGAAGAACACCAAUGGCGAAGGCAGCUCUCUGGGACAGUACUGACGCUGAGACGCGAAAGCGUGGGGAGCGAACAGG
Molecule: ribosomal RNA, 253 nt
Filed under: uncultured bacterium
Lineage: Bacteria
Description: partial 16S ribosomal RNA
Rfam family: Bacterial small subunit ribosomal RNA
Source: RNAcentral